Molecule: long non-coding RNA, 2991 nt
Organism: Lytechinus pictus (painted urchin)
Lineage: Eukaryota; Metazoa; Echinodermata; Echinoidea; Temnopleuroida; Toxopneustidae
Exons: 3
Source: RefSeq, a predicted model, not a curated record
AGGAUUUCUUUCAUUUUUCAAAUUCAAUACUGAAUAGUAAGAAUUAAAUUUUGUCUUGAAUUAACAUUUUCUCUCUGCAGCAGGCACAAAGUGCUAUCCAAGAGAGCAAAGUCCUGAAAUCAAGGGUUUAUCUGGAAGUCCUCAGAAGUCACCUAACAUGAAGCAAGCAAUAUGGACAAGGUUAGGAAGAAGUCAUUGUUGUGCUGGAGGGAUUCCAUGACUUUUGCUCCAGCAACAAUUGCUCUUGUUUUAAAUUCUACACACUAAACAAAUGACUAACUUCAACCCUGGGUUUAACGCUAUACCCUACCCUAAACCUAACAUAGGACCCUAUUGCAAACCUAACCCUACAUCUUACAUAAAACGAAGUUCGGAGCAACUGUUGCAGGAGCAAAUGUCUUGUCACCACUGGAAGAUGGACUCGACAAACUCGGUCAAAGGUCAAGAAAAUUAUCAGAAAUAUGCUGUGAGAUCCAGUGCUUUACCUCAUGGCUGAGAGGAGGCUUACACAGCUGAUAGAUGACAGUGCUAUGUAAAUCAUGUCACUCGGUGUACAACAUGGAUGCACCCCCUAUCUGGGAAAGUCUUCCAGAGCUAAAGAUGUGACACCAAUCUUGACAUCUUCAUCUGCACUGAAUGUCUGGUGCGAUCGUUUGUUGGUACAUACAUGGACAUGAUGUGUAAUCCACCUGUAAAGAAAGACCAAAUGUUAUAUCCUUUGAAACAUACAACAAAGGAACCUGUUUUGUAAAUACCUCUUUUUCUUAUCUCUGAGAGAGAUGACUACCAGGGACUGUUACUUUGACACCAGACAUUAUACACGCUCUGUUUUUGGUGCUCCACUUAUGUACUUAACAUGGAAAUUUCCACCAUGUAAAUCAAAUUGAACGAACCAAAUGCUGAUUUAAAAGACUAUCUGCAUUCGCUACUUAUGAACCAGGAUGGGAAAUGGUUUUUGUCUCACCUGCAUAGCAGAGUGAGACUAUAGGCACCCGCCGCUUUUCCGACGGCGGCGGCGUCGGCGUCAACACCAAAUCUUAACCUAAGGUUAAGUUUUUGAAAUGUCAUCAUAACUUAGAAAAUAUAUGGACCUAGUUCAUGAAACUUGGACAAGGUUUAUCAAGUAUUACUGAACAUCCUGCUUGAGUUUCAUGUCACAUGACUAAGGUCAAAGGUCAUUUAGGGUCAAUGAACUUUGGCCAUAGUGGGGGUAUCUGUUGAAUUACCAUUAUAACUUUAUAAGUUUAUGGAUCUGAUUCAUGAAACUUGGACAUAGGAGUAAUCAUGUAUCACUGAACAUCUGUGCAAGUUUCAGGUCACAUGACCAAAGUCAAAGGUCAUUUAAGGUCAUUGAACUUUGGUAAUUUUAGAGGUAAUUAUUAGAUUGCUGUCAUAACUUUCAAAGUUUAUAGAUAUAGUGUAUAAAGUGUGGAUAUAGGGGUAAUCAAGUUUCACUGACAAGUUUUAGAUCACAUGAUCAAGGUCAAAUGUCAAUGAACGUAGUAUUGUAUCAUAUGAAUGGUGUUUUUUGUGAAUAAUUAUUUGAUAGUAGUUUUCAAAGACAGCACUGCUGCUAUAUUGAAUUGCGUGAUGCAGGUGAGACCGCCAGAGGCAUUCCACUUGUUAUUUUUUAGGGGCUAUUUUUUUCCACAAUGGGGGUGAUUGCUGACUUUUUGGGGCUAUUUCUUUCAUAUUAAGAGCUACAUUUUUUGCAACAAGCACUUACGCUGCAAAAGCAUUUCUCAUCAUUCUGCUGUAUGUAGAAAAUUUAUUUUUAGACAAUAUUAGCGCCCCAAAGUGUUCAAUUUUGUGAAUUUUCCAACACUGUCAUGAACCCAUUUUUAGGUAUUUUAUGAUGACUUUUGUGUAUCUCAAAGGAGCAGGUCCAAGCUAUUAUCUCUGAACAGUGAUUUUCAGUUUAAAUUUAAAAAAAAGACCUUUUCUCUUUCUUAAAACCUUUUAUUCUGUUUCAAACUUGAUCGAGAAUGAAAUUUGUUUUUGAGAAAAUGGACACAUAAAAAGCACGAAUUCCAUUUUGCAGUGAGUUUUCUCCCUAAAAGUAUAGAACCAAAACAGAUUUUUCGUUUUGAUUUACUGGUAAACAGAAAAUCACUGUCCCUAAUUAUUUGCUGACUUUCCAAAUUAUCUGAAUUAUCUGUUGUUUGAUUAAUGGAUGCAUAGAAUGUAGAGCAUGAUUACUAGGAGAAAAUAUGUGCACAAGGUUACAAAUGAUUUCCAAGUAUCAUGAGGUUUAUAAUAAAUAUGGUGUGGUAAUUAGGGCUUGUAGGUUUUUGUGGAGUUAACUCGGUUUACAUGAAGUUAGUAAUUGUGUUUAUUUUGUGUUUACUAUUCCGCAAAAGUGGACCCAAAGGUUUUCCAGAGUUUUCCUCGAAUGAAUUUUAUCUCUGGUUUUUUACCCUGGAUCUACUUGUCGUAGAAUAAUUGUUUAAAGGGGAACGUAAAGGCUUGUUUACUUUAUGCACACAAUAAUAAUACUGUACUGGAUUAAUGAAAUCAAAAAUUGGAAAGCGCGAAUUUAACCCAUCCCAGGGUCAUCAUUUAUUUGAGUUGCCGAAGUUCUCUUCAAUCUUUCGCCCUAGACUCUUAACUUGCUUCUGGAUGGCUCUGCACCAAUUAUGUGAUACCCCUUAACCCUAUUAGGACUGGGAGGGGGCCAUGAUGGCCCCCCUCGACGCUUUGCACAAUAUUUCCGAAACGCAAAAGGUAGCUCCGCAAAAUUUUUUGACUUUUUUCUUUCAAGUCUCGCAAAACUUUUGAGACCAAAUUUGCGACCUACGGGUAUAGCAUCGGGACGCUACGUGACUUUUUACGAGACAAUGUCAUGCCAAAAAUUGAUAAUUUUUAUACUUUCUGUACAAAGUCUGUGGGAGAUGAAAUUCAUAAAAGUGUGAUUAUUUUUCAUUCUAAUUGGUCUGCCUAAUUAAUAUAGAGUUUAACUUAGUUGUUAAGUGGUCUGUAAUAAUUUCCAUU